This 254-nucleotide ribosomal RNA is filed under the name uncultured bacterium. RNAcentral describes it as "partial 16S ribosomal RNA". It matches the Rfam family "Bacterial small subunit ribosomal RNA", at positions 524 to 776 of the family's 1533-position model. The record is from RNAcentral.
UACGGGGGGGGCAAGCGUUGUUCGGAAUUACUGGGCGUAAAGCGCACGUAGGCGGCUUCUUAAGUCAGGGGUGAAAUCCUGGAGCUCAACUCCAGAACUGCCUUUGAUACUGAGGAGCUUGGAGUCCGGGAGAGGUGAGUGGAACUGCGAGUGUAGAGGUGAAAUUCGUAGAUAUUCGCAAGAACACCAGUGGCGAAGGCGGCUCACUGGCCCGGUACUGACGCUGAGGUGCGAAAGCGUGGGGAGCAAACAGG